GACGAACGCUGGCGGCGUGCUUAACACAUGCAAGUCGAACGAUGAAGCCUUUCGGGGUGGAUUAGUGGCGAACGGGUGAGUAACACGUGGGUAAUCUGCCCUGCACUCUGGGAUAAGCCCGGGAAACUGGGUCUAAUACCGGAUAUGACUUUCUUACGCAUGUAGGAAGGUGGAAAGUUCCGGCGGUGCAGGAUGAACCCGCGGCCUAUCAGCUUGUUGGUGGGGUAAUGGCCUACCAAGGCGACGACGGGUAGCCGGCCUGAGAGGGCGACCGGUCACACUGGGACUGAGACACGGCCCAGACUCCUACGGGAGGCAGCAGUGGGGAAGUAUUGGACAAUGGGCGCAAGCCUGAUCCAGCCAUGCCGCGUGAGUGAAGAAGGCC
This 385-nucleotide ribosomal RNA is filed under the name uncultured bacterium. Its description in RNAcentral is "bacterial SSU rRNA". It matches the Rfam family "Bacterial small subunit ribosomal RNA", at positions 28 to 416 of the family's 1533-position model. The record is from RNAcentral.